GACGAACGCUGGCGGCGUGCUUAACACAUGCGAGUCGAACGGAAAGGCCCUGCUUUUGUGGGGUGCUCGAGUGGCGAACGGGUGAGUAACACGUGAGUAACCUGCCCUUGACUUUGGGAUAACUUCAGGAAACUGGGGCUAAUACCGGAUAGGAGCUCCUGCUGCAUGGUGGGGGUUGGAAAGUUUCGGCGGUUGGGGAUGGACUCGCGGCUUAUCAGCUUGUUGGUGGGGUAGUGGCUUACCAAGGCUUUGACGGGUAGCCGGCCUGAGAGGGUGACCGGCCACAUUGGGACUGAGAUACGGCCCAGACUCCUACGGGAGGCAGCAGUGGGGAAUAUUGCACAAUGGGCGGAAGCCUGAUGCAGCAACGCCGCGUGCGGGAUGACGGCCUUCGGGUGGUAAACCGCUUUCGCCUGUGACGAAGCGUGAGUGACGGUAAUGGGUAAAGAAGCACCGGCUAACUACGU
Molecule: ribosomal RNA, 467 nt
Filed under: uncultured bacterium
Lineage: Bacteria
Description: partial 16S ribosomal RNA
Rfam family: Bacterial small subunit ribosomal RNA
Source: RNAcentral